CAUGAAUCUGGGGAAAACAUUUCUGCGCACACACCAGACUAUUGAAACCAGUGUGUGGAAAUGCGUCUGCUGCAUUCUUA
This is a non-coding RNA of Otolemur garnettii (small-eared galago), 80 nucleotides long. Lineage: Eukaryota; Metazoa; Chordata; Mammalia; Primates; Galagidae. The record is from Rfam.